AAAAACCGUUUCAUUUGGACCUAUAUAAGAAAACAAUUUGCUGAUCACUACGAAUUUAAAUAAAAACUUGGAAAAGUUUGAAAAAAAUCACAUAGAAAGUUCGAACUCCAAAACCUGGCAAGUUCAUGGUAAAAACAAAAAAAGGCAGAAAAGGUACAAUUUAUUUUUCAGUGUACCUAUAAUGUCCAGUUUUUCUUUCAGCUCAAUUCCUAGAUUUCAUUCAGUUCAAUUCUUAUGUAGGUACUUGGUGGUGGCAUUCCUUCACUUCCCUUGUUAUGCUCUCUUCGCCCAAGUUCCGAGAAUCAAGAAAACAAAUAAUAGUGCUUGCAUGAAAAUGUACGAGCAAAAAAAACCACAAAGGCCUUUGCGUAGAAACAUCACCUCCACACCCCCUCCAUUCAUGCACAAUACAUGCUUCUCCUGCCGCCGUGCCGCCUGGAUCCAACGAGGCUGUGUCACACUGGCCCCGGAUCCGCCCGCUUCCAAUGAGGUUGCGUCACCCGCUGGCGCACCUCUGCCUCGCCGUGGGCAGUGGAUGCUCCUCCGCAGCUCAACCUCCUGGUAGCGGGUAGUUCGAUGCUCCCUGUCGCGCUACGAUCAGCGCUCCCUCGAGCUCCACAAGAAAUUCUUUCGGGCUGCGUCUGCACCUCUGAAAAGUUCACACACUCGAAGGAGGGGUCAUUGUUUCUUAUUGGAGAAGGCCUGGUGUUUAGUUGGUGUCUGUGUGGUACCUACACCAGCAUUUUCCAUCAAGACCUCCAGAAAGAGAUCAUCUCAAGGUGGUUCAAAUGUGUCGAGCGGCAGCAUCGCUUGAUCCCUAGUGGUUGUCCGCGCAAGGAGGAUACAGGGACGCUACAGUGGUGGAGGAGUCAGUACAUGUAGUAGCUAGCUCAAGAAAAGCCAGCGGCCUGCUCUGGCCAUGCCGCACCACCACUGGCACAUCCACCAUGGUUGCUGGCAGUCGUCUAAGUUGAGCGCUGAUGGGAGUCCUUAACGUGCUUCAACGACACUCUCUCAUAUCAAUCUCUCUCUUUCUUUGCUCCUGUUAUUAAAAUGUGUAGAUGUGCUGCUUUGCUAAUUGAGUAGUUGGGAAGAUGUGAAAAGAACAUGCUCUCUAGGUGUGUGAUUAUUCCUGUGAGCACAAAUGUAUUUAAAUGUUUAUUUUGUGCUUCAGCUUAUGCUUUUGGGCAGUACAAAUACAUCUUCAAAAAUAAGUACAAAUGCGGUCUUAUAGAACUCUAAUUGUUGUUGGAUGCUAUUCCAAAUGCCAAUGAUCAUGCAAAACGGUUAUUGCUAGAAUCUAGAUGAUAUGUAAUGUAGUUACCAUAGUUUCACCCUAUUUUUAUGGUUCUAAUUAUUGUUGCAUAAGUCUUUAAAAGAAAUGUUCACUAAAUGUUUGUGAUCAUUGCUUGUAGGUAUUCGUAUGAACAUUAAAAUAAUGGCUUUUCUUGUAGGAGGUUCAAAGAUUAUCGUGGAGCAAGUUCAAGAGAUCAGUUUGGUGAAAAUAAUGUGAUCUUUUGGUCAGGAUUUUGCAUGAUCCAUAGCCAUCAGGCGAGCAGUUCAAGGCCUACUACGCGAGUCGUCCAUCGUCUUCUACGCUUGAUGAGCUUGUUGUCUCUACACAUCUAGCAUCAAAGUAUCUCCUCCCCUUGCCGCACACACAUGCCCGCGGUUGAGCUAGUGUUGUUUGUGAUUGCUGGUCGUGACUCUUACGUUGUCAUUGGACAAAUAAUUUGUUCUGUAACUCUGUAUUGAUGGGACCUUCAGCAAAUAUGGUGUUUAGAAUUUGUUUGUAACUCUGUACUGUCGGGACCUUCAGCAUAUAUGGUGAUCUCAGUAUUCUAAUAUGUAGGCCAAAAAUGGUGAACAUUUAAACAUCAGUUCAAUUUAAUAAAACUGAGAA
This is a long non-coding RNA of Triticum dicoccoides, 1903 nucleotides long. RefSeq lists it as uncharacterized. The record is from RefSeq and is a predicted model, not a curated record. Lineage: Eukaryota; Viridiplantae; Streptophyta; Magnoliopsida; Poales; Poaceae. The transcript has 4 exons.